Myodes glareolus (Bank vole) is the source of this 733-nucleotide non-coding RNA. NCBI's taxonomy places the organism in Eukaryota, Metazoa, Chordata, Mammalia, Rodentia, Cricetidae. The record is from RefSeq and is a predicted model, not a curated record.
UUCAAGGGUACUUUCAUAUUUUCACCAAUUAUUCAGCUAAAACUAUCUCAACCAUCUAAUUUCUGGUUUUAACAACUUUAUUAGUUUCUGUUAUCAGUUGUGGUGCUAAUCAAUGUCAAGGCACAGAAAAACACAACACAAAUGAAAAGAAACAAAACAAAAAAAGCGAACUAGGAACUCAUGGCUUAUGUAAAGCAUAACACACUUUUAGACACUCAAGAAAAGUUGCCAGGACCUGAUAAUAUACAUUCAUUCUCUUGCUUCUUUGUUCUCAUCUCCUCAGGUUUCACAUGGUGAGCAGAUAACUGCAACAUGCCAGUUUAAAGAAAACAAAGACCAUUCCAUCCUCUACCAAGCAUGGCGAUGUCUUCAUCUGAGCAGUAAACUCAGUCUGAACCAACCAAAAAAGUGAGGGAAAAGAUCAAAAACCAAAGGAACCACAGCAAAAACUGAAACUUUCCACCAGCCAACAUUUCUACUACUUUGCCCAUAGAGGCAGGCACACCUGACACCAGAUUCAGAAAAAGGAUGGCAAGGACAACCAGGGGAAGGACAAGGAACUGACCACCACCCACAAGGAACUCCUCCUUUGAUGAGCUAUGAAUAAAAACUUACCUUAGUUUUAAUUUAUACUCAAGAAAAGUAAGCUAAAAAAAUUAAGAUUAAAACAAGACUGGACAAAAUAGUGUCUUUUUCUACAGAAGCUAUUUAAUAAAUCAUUACAAAAUUUAAA